This 433-nucleotide ribosomal RNA is filed under the name uncultured bacterium. Its description in RNAcentral is "partial 16S ribosomal RNA". It matches the Rfam family "Bacterial small subunit ribosomal RNA", at positions 29 to 507 of the family's 1533-position model. The record is from RNAcentral.
AACGAACGCUGGCGGCAUGCCUAACACAUGCAAGUCGAACGAGACCUUCGGGUCUAGUGGCGCACGGGUGCGUAACGCGUGGGAACCUGCCCUUAGGUUCGGAAUAACUCCCCGAAAGGUGUGCUAAUACCGGUUAAUGUCUUCGGACCAAAGAUUUAUCGCCUUUGGAUGGGCCCGCGUUGGAUUAGCUAGUUGGUAGGGUAAAAGCCUACCAAGGCGACGAUCCAUAGCUGGUCUGAGAGGAUGAUCAGCCACACUGGGACUGAGACACGGCCCAGACUCGUACGGGAGGGAGCAGUGGGGAAUAUUGGAAAAUGGGGGAAAGCAUGAUAAAGCAAUGCCGGGUGGGUGAUGAAGGGAUUAGGGUUGUAAAGCUCUUUUACCCGGGAUGAUAAUGACAGUACCGGGAGAAUAAGCGCCGGCUAACUCCGUG